GGGUCUGUGGGGUAGCCAGGAUAUCCUUAUGGCCUUCGAAGCCGGAGACCCGGGUUCAAAUCCCGGCAGACCCG
This 74-nucleotide transfer RNA is filed under the name Thermoplasmatales archaeon B_DKE. It matches the Rfam family "tRNA". From Rfam's summary of the family: Transfer RNA (tRNA) molecules are approximately 80 nucleotides in length. Their secondary structure includes four short double-helical elements and three loops (D, anti-codon, and T loops). RNAcentral also lists the same sequence under 3 other names. The record is from Rfam by way of RNAcentral. Lineage: Archaea; Methanobacteriati; Thermoplasmatota; Thermoplasmata; Thermoplasmatales.